RNAcentral lists this ribosomal RNA (253 nucleotides) under uncultured bacterium. RNAcentral's name for it is "partial 16S ribosomal RNA". It matches the Rfam family "Bacterial small subunit ribosomal RNA", at positions 524 to 776 of the family's 1533-position model. The record is from RNAcentral.
UACGGGGGGGGCAAGCGUUGUUCGGAAUUACUGGGCGUAAAGGGCGCGUAGGCGGUUCGCUAAGUUGAAUGUGAAAACUCUGGGCUUAACCCAGAGCCUGCAUUCAAUACUGGCGGGCUAGAGUUCUGGAGGGGAUGGCGGAAUUCCUGGUGUAGCGGUGAAAUGCGUAGAUAUCUGGAGGAACACCGGUGGCGAAGGCGGCAUCCUGGACCAAUUCUGACGCUGAGGAGCGAAAGCCAGGGGAGCAAACGGG